This 3098-nucleotide long non-coding RNA is filed under the name Marmota monax (woodchuck). The stretch from base 2896 to 2967 matches the Rfam family "tRNA". The record is from RNAcentral. Lineage: Eukaryota; Metazoa; Chordata; Mammalia; Rodentia; Sciuridae.
CUCUCUGAAGGUGAGAGGCCUCAUGUGGCCUAAGUCUUUCCUCUGGCCAAUUACCUGCCCUGCCCAGGUGGGAUGGUGAGGCUGCGCCGUGGGCCACUCUCCCUCCACGCACCCCUCACCUGCACUUCGAUCCAGUAGAAUCAUAGGAAGCAGAAGGUUCUACAGCCAGCACGGGGGAGGCACAGGGGUUCUCUGAUGCUCAAGAAAGCGGGCUGAUUUUCUCCUGUACACUUUCUCGUAGAUGCUGACAGUUAACUGCCACUCACAGAAACACAGAGGCAAGCCAUGUGAUUCCAGGAAAAGACCACAUUACUGAAAGUGAAGGGGCUGCGCUCUGAGGCCCCCACACAGCUGACACCUUGUCAACCUCUGUGGCGCCACCAUGAACACGGAGCAUGGUUUCUCCCAGGAAGCCACUGGAGAGGGGGUGUUAGGUUUUAGAUAUGAGGUGUUCCCCCAAAACUCAUGUGGGAGACAAUGCAAGAAAGUUUAGAGGUUGGGUCAUGAGAGCCUCAACCCAAUCAGUGUGUUAGUCCUCAGAUAGAGGUUAACCGGGUGGUAGCUGUAGGCAGGUAGUGUGUGGCUGGAGGAGAGACUUGGAGGUUUGCAGUUCUUGUCCUUGUUGAGCCGAGCUCUCUCUGACUCCUGGGGCCAUGUGCUGAGCCUCUCCCCUCCACCACAGCCUCCCCAGGGCGCUCUGCCUCACCUCACCCUGUUGCCAAUCCAGAGCAGCGCAGCCAGCCAUCUGUGGACUGAGACCUCGGAAACCAGGAGCUCCAAAUAACCUUUUCUCCUCUAAUUGUUCUUGUCAGGUCUUUUGGGCCCAGCCAUGAAAACGCCAAUUAAACUAGAAAUUGGUACUGAAAAGUAGGUUCAUUGCUGUGACUAAACGUAUAGGGUCUUGACUUAACAUCUGAGCAGCCAGCUUAGAUGUUGACCACCAUCUUACAAAAUGAGCUUCACUUUCCUGUACUUCCUCUUACCCCAACUCCCCACCCCCAUUAGUGACCUACCCCAUGGUACCAUAGCCCUAAGCCAGUCCCAGAAGGACACAACCCCUCAACCCUUGACUCUGGAAAGCCCCACGGUGCCACGGACCUAAGCCCAUCCCCUGCUAUUGCCACCCGCCUAGCUCUGAGGAAAGCACCCCAGCCUAUCCCAUGGUGCCUCAGCUGCAGCUCCCUUCUCCACAAAAGCUGACACCGGAACCACUCGGGCCUCGGGCCUCUCUACAGAGGGAUGGCCUUUAAAAUUCCAUGUGGCUCUCUGCCUGGUCUCCGUCCUUCAAUUCUCGCUCGCCCCCGUCUCUCGCUUUCUCACUUUCCUUUCAAAACUGACCGUAUGGUUUAGAAGCUUUUGGAGUUUUUGGAAUUUAUGGCAGGAUUUUGGAAAUUUUAGCAGUGCAAACCGGAAAGGCUUUAGAGUGUUGUAAGCUGAUGUUAACGGAAUGGGCGAUUCUGGUGGGAGUUAGAAGACUAGAUUGCCAACAGGACUGUGCCCAGUAAAGAUUGGGAUCAUGUGGUUUUGUUACUGAAAGUUCUGUCCUUGUCCCUGUUGCCAAUCCAAUAACAAGAACAUGGUUUUGAGAAAGAGAAAAAAGAGGUUUAUUGCUUUGCUAGCAAAGGAGAAAGAAACACAGGGGACUCCUGUCCCAGAGGCUGUGAUUCUGCCCAUCAGCAGGGACAGGGGGCUGUUAAAGAGGUGACUCAAAAUCUACAUUCCAAGUGCUCUCUGUUGGAGUUGCAAUUCACUUGUUAAUUUGGGAGGUAGUUUCUGAGAGCUUCUGGUGCUGUCCCCAAGGUCUGGAUUACUUGGGUGAGUGCUCAGGGACAGAUAACUCUGCCUAGAAUGGGGAAGAAAGGUAAUCCCGUUUUCCUGAGAUUAGGGAGGGGGAGAGAUUAGGGAGGAGAGAGGAGGAGAAAGAAAUGUGUCCGUUUUAAACACAAGUCACAGUGGCAGAGCAGCAAAGCAUAAAGUGGCCGCGACUGCAGUUUCAGAGGAGAGGGACAACUCUCCUGGAAACUGACUACAGUCGAUUCAUGUUGUGUUCCAAGAGGUUUGUCUGUGUUCUGCCCUUGUGCUGAGAUUUCCUGUGAGGCUGAAUUUAAAGGUGAUGGACUUCUUAAUCUGGCAAAAGAAAAUUUUAGGCAGCAAAGCAUUCAGGUGGUGGCAUGGAUAUUGCUGGCAGCUUUUAGCCAAGUUUACUUUGAUAAUCAGGAGCAGAAAGCAAAGCAGAAAGAUAUGAAAAACUUGCAGUGUGGCCAGAAAACUGUGAAUAAACCAAGGGCUAAGGAAGCUGUGAUUGUUAAAGAUAAUACAGCCACUACAGAGAUGCUGCUAAAGACUUUGACCAGAGAGAGUAGGAAAUACGGCUUGAGGGCAUCUCCGGAAUUGGCAAGACCACAUCUCAGGCUCAAGGGUGUAAAAGGAAAGAUUUUUUUGAGAAGAGACCAGUGGGGUACAACCACUGGCACAGAGGGGCCUAGGAAGCUAUUUCACCAGGCUCAGAUGUCCAGCACUCAGAGGCUCCUGCAGCCAUGGUCCUCGAGGCUUGGCUACUGCUCGAGAUGGUGGCAGACUUUGGUGUCACCUGUUAGUUGAAGAGCAGGCUGAACAAAUGUUAGCUGCAGGGUGGGCUGAACACUCGACCCUCACCCGUCUGGCUCCUAAUCACUGGUUUGCCUCAAAUCUGAACACUCAACCCUACUCAAGGCUGAACACUUAACCCCCACCUGUCAGGUGCAAACCCACAUCAGGCCGCUGCCCAGUCUGCCUGAGGGCAGAAGAUGACACCCUUAGCAACUACUGUAUGACCCAAUCACUGUACGCCAACAAGGCAGCUUGCAGACCCAGAGACCCCAUUAGAUUUGGGCUAUAAAAACUCUCUUCUGGGCUGGGGAUGUGGCUCAAGCGGUAGCGCGCUCGCCUGGCAUGCGUGCGGCCCGGGUUCGAUCCUCAGCACCACCUACAAACAAAGAUGUUGUGUCCACUGAGAACUAAAAAAUAAAUAUUAAAAAAUUCUCUCUCUCCCACUCUCUCUUUAAAAAAAACACAAAAACUCUCUUGUGCAGGGGUCUCUUUCUCUCUCUCUCUCCUCC